Molecule: ribosomal RNA, 253 nt
Filed under: uncultured bacterium
Lineage: Bacteria
Description: partial 16S ribosomal RNA
Rfam family: Bacterial small subunit ribosomal RNA
Source: RNAcentral
UACGUAGGGGGCAAGCGUUAUCCGGAUUUACUGGGUGUAAAGGGAGCGUAGACGGCCAGACAAGUCUGAAGUGAAAAUCCAGCGCUUAACGUUGGAAGUGCUUUGGAAACUGCCGGGCUAGAGUGCAGGAGGGGCAGGCGGAAUUCCUAGUGUAGCGGUGAAAUGCGUAGAUAUUAGGAGGAACACCAGUGGCGAAGGCAGCCUGCUGGACUGCAACUGACGUUGAGGCUCGAAGGUGUGGGGAGCAAACAGG